AUUCCAGGUUGAAAGGCAACAAAAUAGGAAAAAUGCCAAGGGAGGUGAAUACUUUCGCAAGCCACUGUAUUUCCCUUCCAAAAGGGUGGCUCAGGUUGUGAUGGGUUCAGGUGUUGUUGUCUAGGAGACCUGAGCCAGGUUGUGAUGGGUUCAGGUGUUGUCUAGGAGACCUGAGUCAGGUUGUGAUGGGUUCAGGUGUUGUUGUCUAGGAGACCUGAGCUUUGUUCCAGACAACUCAAACAUCUUCCUCUUGUCUUUAUCCAGGAUCAGUUAUCAGGUCUGUCUCUUCUCUCCGUGUUUCAUUGAUCUGUCUGUUUCUGUUUUUCAUUUUAAUAAUGCCAUGCUGUUUCAACUAGAAGAUAAGAUAUUAUAAGUUAAAUUAUAUAGUUUGAAAUCCGCUUCUUAAGUUGUUGCUGUAAAAUGAGGAGAUUUGAUGGAGCUGUGUGACUUUGUUUUGUAAAAACCUUGUGAAGAAAACAGAUUUCUGAACAGUAUUUUCUUAAACAUGAAUAAGAUUAUUUGCAUUCCAUGUAGAGUUUCCCAACAUGUUAAGACAACAGAAUCACAUGGUGUAUUAGUGGGCGAGUGUUUCAGAUCAUUCAUUUAGCUCCCCAGAUAAUACAUUCCCCCUCUGUAUUCCUGUUUUUAACACAAAUGUAUAAAGGUGGAACAAACCUUGGGUAUAAAUUGUUUUUAACACACAUGUAGAAAGGUGCAACUAACCAUUUGGUGUAAAGUGUUUUUUUGUAAUUUCAUAACUAGUUUGUUUCAUUUCACCGUUCUGAGUUCAGAUCCGUCUGUAACAUUCCACCACGUCAGCCCCCCCCCUCACCCACACUGCUUUAUUUUCUCUCUCUCUAUGUGCCUGACAGACUAUGCUGUCAAAGGUUUUCAAUAAACACGUUACAAAAGCA
This is a long non-coding RNA of Coregonus clupeaformis (lake whitefish), 914 nucleotides long. RefSeq lists it as uncharacterized. The transcript has 2 exons. The record is from RefSeq and is a predicted model, not a curated record. Lineage: Eukaryota; Metazoa; Chordata; Actinopteri; Salmoniformes; Salmonidae.